UUCUCCCUCUUUGCUCCUCCUCACUUCCCACUUGGCCUCCUAGCAUCCUUGUCUCUGUUGGGUUGUUAAAAACAUCCAUCUUGUUCCUUUUUUUAAUCUUAUACUAAUUCCCAAAAAAAGAAAAAAAGGACGCUUGAUUUGAGGAGGGUUUGUUCAUUGGAGGAGUCAUGGCAGUUUGCUGUGAUCUUGAAGUUGAUGUCAAUGGUCAAUGGUCAAG
Molecule: long non-coding RNA, 217 nt
Filed under: Citrus sinensis (sweet orange)
Lineage: Eukaryota; Viridiplantae; Streptophyta; Magnoliopsida; Sapindales; Rutaceae
Description: long non-coding RNA (CSIN_LNC005161)
Source: RNAcentral